This 253-nucleotide ribosomal RNA is filed under the name uncultured bacterium. RNAcentral describes it as "partial 16S ribosomal RNA". It matches the Rfam family "Bacterial small subunit ribosomal RNA", at positions 524 to 776 of the family's 1533-position model. The record is from RNAcentral.
UACGAAGGGGGCUAGCGUUGUUCGGAAUUACUGGGCGUAAAGGGCGCGUAGGCGGUACUUCAAGCCAGGCGUGAAAGCCCCGGGCUCAACCUGGGAACCGCGCUUGAGACUGGAGAACUAGAGUUCGGGAGAGGAUGGUGGAAUUCCCAGUGUAGAGGUGAAAUUCGUAGAUAUUGGGAAGAACACCGAUGGCGAAGGCAGCCAUCUGGACCGACACUGACGCUGAGGCGCGAAAGCGUGGGGAGCAAACAGG